CUUACAAAAUCCUUCAUCAGUAGGAAUUUGGAAACUCCUCAAAGCUCUAAUCUAUCCCAACAACGUUGAUAAACCUGAGAAUAUAUUUGCCAACGGUACCAAUGAACUGCUUACCCUGGAUGAAACAGAAUACUUGUUUUUAUUCAUUUCUGAUCUUGAGAUUAAGGAUGAGAUAAUAACGUCUCUAACAUCGAUUCACGGAUACAAGAAGGGUAAGAUUGUGUGGGUACCUGUUGUGAAAGAUUGGACCAA
Long non-coding RNA from Arachis duranensis, 252 nucleotides. RefSeq lists it as uncharacterized. The transcript has 3 exons. The record is from RefSeq and is a predicted model, not a curated record. Lineage: Eukaryota; Viridiplantae; Streptophyta; Magnoliopsida; Fabales; Fabaceae.